UGCAGCAGAGCCAUGGCGAACGCACGACGGGUCGGACGGCCGGGAGAGCGAGUGGAGGCGGCGAGCGGCGGCUCCGCGCUGAAGGUCUGCUUAGAUUAUUACUGCAAAGCGUGCAUUCCUCUUCAGUGGUUCAAGAGGUCCUUCAAAAGGGCAUCCAGUUCAUUCUCAUCAAUGUAACCACUUCCAUCCUGAGAAGCAUAAAUAGAGGAGAUGGAGAUCGAUACGGAACAGCAGCCUGACAUGCUUGGCUUUUCUCUGAUCUAGUUUCCUAAAGUUGACCAAUGUCUCAACCUUCCCAGUACAGGUUGAGUUUCCAUUAUUAUUCAUUUUAUCCUCCAGUCGGCAAAGCUGAAGAGGAACAGAUUACCCUGGACAGCAAAACAGCUACUUGCCAGUUAGAAUUUCUUAUUUUGCUCCGGGCCUUUCCCUCUUUGGACUCCGAUAGGAAGUCGGCUUCUUUUCGUCUCACUGAUUAUCUGCUUACCUUGUCGUAAAACGUGAAGAUGGCAUUGAACUCUUCUGAGGUCAGUUUCAUGCCCUGCCAGCCGCCCAAACAAAUGAGAGAAAUAAAAAGAUGGUUAAAAGA
Ornithorhynchus anatinus (platypus) is the source of this 586-nucleotide long non-coding RNA. RefSeq lists it as uncharacterized. NCBI's taxonomy places the organism in Eukaryota, Metazoa, Chordata, Mammalia, Monotremata, Ornithorhynchidae. The transcript has 3 exons. The record is from RefSeq and is a predicted model, not a curated record.